GAAUAAAUUUUUAACGGCCGCGGAAUUUUAACCGUGCUAAGGUAGCAUAAUCACUUGUCUUUUAAUUGGAGACUUGUAUGAAUGGUCAAACGAAUAUAGACUAUCUAAUUUAAUAUUAUAUAAAAAUUAUUCUUAAAGUGAAAACCCUUUAAUAAAACAAAAAGACAAAAAGACCCUGUAGAGUUUUAUUUUUAUAUAAUUUUCUAUUAUUUAAAAAUUUAGUUGGGGCAACUAAGAAAAAUAAAAAUUUUUCUUAAUAAUACGAUCAUAAAAUCAUUAAUUUAAUAAUACAAAAUAAAUUACCUCAGGGUUAACAGCGUAAUUUUCUUUGAGAGCCCAAAUCGAAAAGAAAAAUUAC
This 358-nucleotide ribosomal RNA is filed under the name Lyratoherpia sp. ZSM Mol 20190682. RNAcentral's name for it is "partial large subunit ribosomal RNA". It matches the Rfam family "Bacterial large subunit ribosomal RNA", at positions 1914 to 2521 of the family's 2925-position model. Lineage: Eukaryota; Metazoa; Mollusca; Solenogastres; Pholidoskepia; Dondersiidae. The record is from RNAcentral.